Molecule: non-coding RNA, 77 nt
Organism: Megalops atlanticus (tarpon)
Lineage: Eukaryota; Metazoa; Chordata; Actinopteri; Elopiformes; Megalopidae
Source: the annotation of a GenBank genome assembly
GGCAGUGUAGCGUAGUGUUAAGGAGCAGGGCUUGUAACCAAAAGGUUCCUGGUUUAAUUCCCCACCGGGCACUGCUG